CUCAAUUUAGCUCGAACAGCCCAACAUGCCUGGGCCUGUCUAUUGAAUUGGUGGGAGCAGCUGCCAGAAGCCUGUUUGCUUAUGGAUUGAGGGUCCUCUUGGGAGAGUUCUCAUUCUGAAGGCAGAAGUUGCCUGGCAACAAGUCUGACCCCUGGAGACUGACUUACCCAACGGAGGAGCAAGGAAGUCUGAGUACAGUGUGGUAUCUGUCAUCUAGAUCCAUCUCCCAGCUGGAUAACUUGAAUGGAAAUCCUCAAUCCCCUACACAAAUUACAGGGUGAAAAUAGAUGCUUGCAGAGGUGAGGACAAGGAUGCGGUCCAUUUCCAUCUCCAGCCCCACCAUGGAUCCAAAAGGAAAUCUGAAGAAAGAAAAAAGAAAAAUGGACCAUAAGACCAUGGCUUCCACCUUUUGCUUACAAAAUAUGUUCAUAAUACAUAUGUGACUUAC
This is a long non-coding RNA of Felis catus (domestic cat), 448 nucleotides long. RefSeq lists it as uncharacterized. Lineage: Eukaryota; Metazoa; Chordata; Mammalia; Carnivora; Felidae. The transcript has 3 exons. The record is from RefSeq and is a predicted model, not a curated record.